GACAGAGGGUGCAAACGUUGUUCGGAAUUACUGGGCGUAAAGCGUGUGUAGGCGGCCGCGCAAGUCGGAUGUGAAAGCCCCGGGCUCAACCCGGGAAGUGCACCCGAUACUGCAUGGCUCGAGUACUGGAGAGGUUGGUGGAAUUCUCGGUGUAGAGGUGAAAUGCGUAGAGAUCCGGAGGAACACCAGUGGCGAAGGCGACACGCUGGGCCGUACCUGACACUGAUGCGCGACAGCAUGGGGAGCAAACAGG
This 253-nucleotide ribosomal RNA is filed under the name uncultured bacterium. RNAcentral's name for it is "partial 16S ribosomal RNA". It matches the Rfam family "Bacterial small subunit ribosomal RNA", at positions 524 to 776 of the family's 1533-position model. The record is from RNAcentral.